RNAcentral lists this ribosomal RNA (481 nucleotides) under uncultured bacterium. Its description in RNAcentral is "partial 16S ribosomal RNA". It matches the Rfam family "Bacterial small subunit ribosomal RNA", at positions 28 to 507 of the family's 1533-position model. The record is from RNAcentral.
GAUGAACGCUGGCGGCGUGCUUAACACAUGCAAGUCGAACGAAACACCUUAUUUGAUUUUCUUCGGAACUGAAGAUUUGGUGAUUGAGUGGCGGACGGGUGAGUAACGCGUGGGUAACCUGCCCUGUACAGGGGGAUAACAGUCAGAAAUGACUGCUAAUACCGCAUAAGACCACAGCACCGCAUGGAGCAGGGGUAAAAACUCCGGUGGUACAGGAUGGACCCGCGUCUGAUUAGCUGGUUGGUGAGGUAACGGCUCACCAAGGCGACGAUCAGUAGCCGGCUUGAGAGAGUGAACGGCCACAUUGGGACUGAGACACGGCCCAAACUCCUACGGGAAGCAGCAGUGGGGAAUAUUGCACAAUGGGGGAAACCCUGAUGCAGCGACGCCGCGUGAGUGAAGAAGUAUUUCGGUAUGUAAAGCUCUAUCAGCAGGGAAGAAAAUGACGGUACCUGACUAAGAAGCCCCGGCUAACUACGUG